GCCGGUAUAGCUCAGUGGUAGAGCGUUCCACUCGUAAUGGAAAGGUCCACGGUUCGAUCCCGUGUAGCGGCA
This 72-nucleotide transfer RNA is filed under the name Verticillium dahliae VdLs.17. Its description in RNAcentral is "tRNA-Thr (CGT) (tRNA-Thr-CGT-1-1)". It matches the Rfam family "tRNA". Rfam says of the family: Transfer RNA (tRNA) molecules are approximately 80 nucleotides in length. Their secondary structure includes four short double-helical elements and three loops (D, anti-codon, and T loops). Lineage: Eukaryota; Fungi; Ascomycota; Sordariomycetes; Glomerellales; Plectosphaerellaceae. RNAcentral also lists the same sequence under 2 other names. The record is from RNAcentral.